This 951-nucleotide long non-coding RNA is filed under the name Homo sapiens (human). Its description in RNAcentral is "non-protein coding lnc-FPGT-1:3". Lineage: Eukaryota; Metazoa; Chordata; Mammalia; Primates; Hominidae. The record is from RNAcentral.
AUGUAUUCCAGAUUACCCUGGAAAGUUUGUUGAAAUGAAGAUUCUGGGGCCCUAAUCUAAGUUUACUGAAUUAAAAUCUCUCAGAUGGAGCCUGAAACUCCACAAUUUAACAAGCGCCCCAGGUGAUUUGUGCCCAACAAAGAUAAAAAAUGAAUGGGUUGAAACUCAAGCAAAAGACAAUGAAGUUGGAGCAGCCAGCUGGACUGCUGUUUGAGUAAUCCAGUUGAUUACAACACACAGACUACAAUGGUUACCAUGGAGAUUCAAGGGCAAGGGUAAACCUGAGAACUAUUUCAAAGGAAACAUCAUAAAGAGGUAAAAGACUGGAUUUCAGAAAUGGAAGAGAGAAAAGAGACCAGGAGAACUAGGAUUGCUGCCUCCUGAGAGUCAGUUAGUGACCAAGAGUACUCAUUAGGCCUCUAGAUAUCAGGGAUAUUCUUGGCAGUGAGAGCAGAGAGAACAAAGCUAAAGGUGCUGAAGUAAGGUGACAGCGCUUUAAAGAAGAAGAAAAAAAAAAAGGAAAAAGAAAGAUAGCUACCAAGAAAAAAAGUGACCUGGUCUACAAAGAUGAAGAAACUGUCGAUUAGGGUGGAAUAAACUUAUCAUGCAAGAAGUUGGCAUAGAUACUCGUCUCACCUUAAAGGUGCUUUAAAAAUAAAGUGGGGUCAGGCAAGGCAGAUAGGUGGCAUAGCAGUUAAGCUCAAGCAGAGAUAAUGAACAGAAAUACCAGAGGAAUUAGGAUUAAAAGCAAUAAAGUCUUGAAUAUUGGCGAGAAAAGAUGAAGAAGAGAGGAUCCAUUGUGUCGAUCUUCAAGCCCUGUUCUUCUAAAAUGAUUGAAGCUGAGAUCUCCACCUAGUGGAUAUAUAGGAUUUUGCAGAUCUUUAUGGGAACAGCCAACUAUCCCUGGAAAUCCUUAAUUUUUUUCUCUUAGAGAAAUAACAAGUUUUAAAG